This is a non-coding RNA of Triticum aestivum (bread wheat), 136 nucleotides long. The record is from Rfam. NCBI's taxonomy places the organism in Eukaryota, Viridiplantae, Streptophyta, Magnoliopsida, Poales, Poaceae.
UGUGUACUCCCUCCGUUCCAAAAUACUUAACUUCCAUUUGUCCAAAAAUGGAUGUACCUAUAUACUAAGACAUGUCUAGAUACAUAUAUAUUUUGACAAAUAGAAGGCAUGUAUUGUGCAACGGAGGGAGUAGAAU